GCGGAUAUGGUAUACCGGUAGUGCCUCAGCCUUCCAAGCUGAUGAAGAGUGGUUCGACUCCCCCUAUCCGCUCCA
RNAcentral lists this transfer RNA (75 nucleotides) under compost metagenome. Its description in RNAcentral is "tRNA-Gly". It matches the Rfam family "tRNA". From Rfam's summary of the family: Transfer RNA (tRNA) molecules are approximately 80 nucleotides in length. Their secondary structure includes four short double-helical elements and three loops (D, anti-codon, and T loops). The record is from RNAcentral.